GACGAACGCUGGCGGCGCGCCUAACACAUGCAAGUCGAACGGAGAAAUGCUAAGCUUGCUUUGCAUAACUUAGUGGCGGACGGGUGAGUAACACGUGAGCAACCUGUCUUUCAGAGGGGGAUAACGGCUGGAAACGGUCGCUAAUACCGCAUGACAUAUUCGAGUGGCAUCACCUGGAUAUCAAAGGAGCAAUCCGCUGAAAGAUGGGCUCGCGUCUGAUUAGAUAGUUGGUGGGGUAACGGCCUACCAAGUCGACGAUCAGUAGCCGGACUGAGAGGUUGAACGGCCACAUUGGGACUGAGAUACGGCCCAGACUCCUACGGGAGGCAGCAGUGGGGAAU
RNAcentral lists this ribosomal RNA (341 nucleotides) under uncultured bacterium. RNAcentral describes it as "bacterial SSU rRNA". It matches the Rfam family "Bacterial small subunit ribosomal RNA", at positions 28 to 362 of the family's 1533-position model. The record is from RNAcentral.